Molecule: unclassified non-coding RNA, 223 nt
Filed under: Glomeraceae sp.
Lineage: Eukaryota; Fungi; Glomeromycota; Glomeromycetes; Glomerales; Glomeraceae
Description: partial contains 5.8S ribosomal RNA and internal transcribed spacer 2
Rfam family: 5.8S ribosomal RNA (bases 1-71)
Source: RNAcentral
GUGAAUCAUCGAAUCUUUGAACGCAAAUUGCACUCUCUGGUAUUCCGGGGAGUAUGUCUGUUUGAGGGUCGGUAAAAUAAACAAUCGAGUCGUCGCGCUUUGUUUAGGGGCGUUCGCGUCGGCAUUGAGCCGUCUUUCUAAUGUGAAUUCAUGUCAAAGUUUCUUGUAAUUCAUCUUUCCGGUACGAUUAAAUCGUACUUAACACCAAUCUUGAUUAAGUACG